RNAcentral lists this ribosomal RNA (253 nucleotides) under uncultured prokaryote. RNAcentral's name for it is "partial 16S ribosomal RNA". It matches the Rfam family "Bacterial small subunit ribosomal RNA", at positions 524 to 776 of the family's 1533-position model. The record is from RNAcentral.
UACGAAGGGGGCUAGCGUUGUUCGGAAUUACUGGGCGUAAAGCGCGCGCAGGCGGUUCUUCAAGUCAGAGGUGAAAGCCCAGAGCUCAACUCUGGAAUGGCCUUUGAGACUAGAGAACUAGGGUACGGGAGAGGUGAGUGGAAUUCCGAGUGUAGAGGUGAAAUUCGUAGAUAUUCGGAAGAACACCAGUGGCGAAGGCGACUUACUGGACAACUGUUGACGCUGAGGUGCGAAAGCGUGGGGAGCAAACAGG